RNAcentral lists this ribosomal RNA (443 nucleotides) under uncultured bacterium. RNAcentral describes it as "partial 16S ribosomal RNA". It matches the Rfam family "Bacterial small subunit ribosomal RNA", at positions 338 to 795 of the family's 1533-position model. The record is from RNAcentral.
CCUACGGGUGACAGCAGUGGGGAAUAUUGGGCAAUGGGCGCAAGCCUGACCCAGCAACGCCGCGUGAAGGAAGAAGGCUUUCGGGUUGUAAACUUCUUUUGUCAGGGACGAAGCAGGUGACGGUACCUGCCGAAUAAGCCACGGCUAACUACGUGCCAGCAGCCGCGGUAAUACGUAGGUGGAACGCGUUAUCCGGAGUUAUUGGGUGUAAAGGGCGUGUAGGCGGGAAUGCAAGUCAGAUGUGAAAACUAUGGGCUCAACCCAUAGCCUGCAUUUGAUACUGUAUGUCUUGAGUGCUGGAGAGGCAAGCGGAAUUCCGUGUGUAGCGGUGAAAUGCGUAGAGAUACGGAGGAAUACCAGUGGCGAAGGCGGAUUGCUGGACAGUAACUGACGCUGAGGUGCGAAAGCGUGGGGAGCAAACAGGAUUAGAUACCCGAGUAGUC